RNAcentral lists this ribosomal RNA (253 nucleotides) under uncultured bacterium. RNAcentral's name for it is "partial 16S ribosomal RNA". It matches the Rfam family "Bacterial small subunit ribosomal RNA", at positions 524 to 776 of the family's 1533-position model. RNAcentral also lists the same sequence under 1 other name. The record is from RNAcentral.
UACGGAGGGUGCAAGCGUUGUCCGGAUUUAUUGGGUUUAAAGGGUGCGCAGGUGGUUUAUUAAGUCAGUGGUGAAAGACGGUCGCUCAACGAUUGCAGUGCCAUUGAAACUAGUAGACUUGAGUAAAGUAGAGGUGGGCGGAAUUGAUAGUGUAGCGGUGAAAUGCAUAGAUAUUAUCAAGAACUCCAAUUGCGAAGGCAGCUCACUUGGCUUUUACUGACACUCAUGCACGAAAGUGUGGGUAUCAAACAGG